Molecule: ribosomal RNA, 646 nt
Filed under: Salinivibrio sp. VYel4
Lineage: Bacteria; Pseudomonadati; Pseudomonadota; Gammaproteobacteria; Vibrionales; Vibrionaceae
Description: partial 23S ribosomal RNA
Rfam family: Bacterial large subunit ribosomal RNA
Source: RNAcentral
GUAACGGAGGAGCACGAAGGUGGGCUAAUCACGGUCGGACAUCGUGAGGUUAGUGCAAUGGCAUAAGCCCGCUUAACUGCGAGAGUGACGGCUCGAGCAGGUACGAAAGUAGGUCAUAGUGAUCCGGUGGUUCUGAAUGGAAGGGCCAUCGCUCAACGGAUAAAAGGUACUCCGGGGAUAACAGGCUGAUACCGCCCAAGAGUUCAUAUCGACGGCGGUGUUUGGCACCUCGAUGUCGGCUCAUCACAUCCUGGGGCUGAAGUCGGUCCCAAGGGUAUGGCUGUUCGCCAUUUAAAGUGGUACGCGAGCUGGGUUUAGAACGUCGUGAGACAGUUCGGUCCCUAUCUGCCGUGGGCGUUGGAUGAUUGAGGGGAGCUGCUCCUAGUACGAGAGGACCGGAGUGGACGAACCGCUGGUGUUCGGGUUGUGUCGCCAGACGCAUUGCCCGGUAGCUAAGUUCGGCACAGAUAAGCGCUGAAAGCAUCUAAGCGCGAAGCUGGCCCCGAGAUGAGUCAUCCCUAGAGCUUCGAGCUCUCUAAAGGGUUGUUCUAGACUAGAACGUUGAUAGGCAGGGUGUGUAAGCGCUGUGAGGCGUUGAGCUAACCUGUACUAAUUGCCCGUGAGGCUUAACCAUACAACACCCAAG